UAUGGUAAUUGCCGCCGCGGUAAUACGUAGGGGGCAAGCGUUAUCCGGAAUUACUGGGUGUAAAGGGUGCGUAGGUGGUAUGGCAAGUCAGAAGUGAAAACCCAGGGCUUAACUCUGGGACUGCUUUUGAAACUGUCAGACUGGAGUGCAGGAGAGGUAAGCGGAAUUCCUAGUGUAGCGGUGAAAUGCGUAGAUAUUAGGAGGAACAUCAGUGGCGAAGGCGGCUUACUGGACUGAAACUGACACUGAGGCACGAAAGCGUGGGGAGCAAACAGG
This 276-nucleotide ribosomal RNA is filed under the name Anaerostipes hadrus ATCC 29173 = JCM 17467. RNAcentral describes it as "Anaerostipes hadrus DSM 3319 partial 16S ribosomal RNA". It matches the Rfam family "Bacterial small subunit ribosomal RNA", at positions 502 to 776 of the family's 1533-position model. Lineage: Bacteria; Bacillati; Bacillota; Clostridia; Lachnospirales; Lachnospiraceae. The record is from RNAcentral.